RNAcentral lists this unclassified non-coding RNA (225 nucleotides) under Glomeraceae sp. RNAcentral's name for it is "partial contains 5.8S ribosomal RNA and internal transcribed spacer 2". The stretch from base 1 to 71 matches the Rfam family "5.8S ribosomal RNA", at positions 84 to 154 of the family's 154-position model. Lineage: Eukaryota; Fungi; Glomeromycota; Glomeromycetes; Glomerales; Glomeraceae. The record is from RNAcentral.
UUGAAUCAUCGAAUUUUUGAACGCAAAUUGCACUCUCUGGUAUUCCGGGGAGUAUGCCUGUUUGAGGGUCGCCUAAAUAAACAUCGAUUCAUUGCUUUUUUUUUGGAAAAAAAAGUAAAUGUUAUCGGAUCUGAGCCUUCUUUUUUUUUUUUUUUUAAAGUGGCUUAAAAUUUAUUUCGGUUAUGAUAAACUUAAUUAACGAUUAAUUCUAUUCAAAAAAUAACA